RNAcentral lists this ribosomal RNA (488 nucleotides) under uncultured bacterium. RNAcentral's name for it is "bacterial SSU rRNA". It matches the Rfam family "Bacterial small subunit ribosomal RNA", at positions 28 to 526 of the family's 1533-position model. The record is from RNAcentral.
GAUGAACGCUGGCGGCGUGCUUAACACAUGCAAGUCGAACGAAGUUUUAGGUGCUUGCACUUAAAACUUAGUGGCGGACGGGUGAGGAACAUGUGGGCAACCUACCAAGAGCAGGGGGAUAACUGUGAGAAAUCACAGCUAAUACCGCGUAACCUUAUAAUAUGGCAUCAUAUAAUAAGGAAAGGAGAAAUCCGGCACUUGAGGGGCCCGCACCUGAUUAGCUAGUUGGAGCGGUAACGGCGAACCAAGGCAAUGGUCCGUAGCCGACCUGAGAGGGUGAUCGGCCACAUUGGGACUGAGACACGGCCCAAACUCCUACGGGAGGCAGCAGUGGGGAAUAUUGCGCAAUGGGGGAAACCCUGACGCAGCAACGCCGCGUGAAGGAAGAAGGUAUUCGUAUCGUAAACUUCUAUCGAGUGGGAAGAAAGAAAUGACGGUACCACAGUAAGAAGCCCCGGCUAACUACGUGCCAGCAGCCGCAGUAAGAC